Molecule: unclassified non-coding RNA, 143 nt
Filed under: uncultured Capnodiales
Lineage: Eukaryota; Fungi; Ascomycota; Dothideomycetes; Capnodiales
Description: sequence contains ITS1
Source: RNAcentral
CCAGAGAUGGUGGGCUCCGGUCCCCGUCCCCAACCCUUUGUCUACCAAAACCUUUUUGCCUCGGGGGCAGAGCGGCCGCCGCCGCCCCCGGAGGACCACCCAACUCUGUCUCUUUACGUCGGAGUAUUUGAUUGAAUAAGUAA